This 540-nucleotide ribosomal RNA is filed under the name uncultured bacterium. RNAcentral describes it as "bacterial SSU rRNA". It matches the Rfam family "Bacterial small subunit ribosomal RNA", at positions 355 to 896 of the family's 1533-position model. The record is from RNAcentral.
UGGGGAAUCUUGCGCAAUGGGGGAAACCCUGACGCAGCCAUGCCGCGUGGAGGAAGACACCCCUACGGGGCGUAAACUCCUUUUGUGCCGGAAGAAGCCCCUGGUUUCCAGGGACUGACGGUAUGGCAAGAAUAAGCACCGGCUAACUCCGUGCCAGCAGCCGCGGUAAUACGGAGGGUGCAAGCGUUGUCCGAAAUUACUGGGUGUAAAGGGUGUGUAGGUGGGACAGCAAGUCAGGGGUGAAAGCCCACGGCUCAACCGUGGAAGUGCCUUUGAAACUGCUGUUCUUGAGUCCCGGAGAGGUUGUUGGAAUUCGUGGUGUAGCGGUGAAAUGCGUAGAUAUCACGAGGAACACCAGUGGCGUAAGCGAACAACUGGACGGGUACUGACACUGAUGCACGAGAGCGUGGGGAGCAAACAGGAUUAGAUACCCUGGUAGUCCACGCCGUAAACGAUGGAUGCUCGAUGUUGCUUCGUCAAGAAGCAGUGUCUAAGCUAACGCAUUAAGCAUCCCACCUGGGGAGUACGGUCGCAAGACUG